GGAGAGAGGAAGAAGGGGUGAGAGGGAGAAACCUGCCGCCGCUCGCCGCCUCUUUGUCUGCUCCGGGACUUGGAACAAAAGGGGGAACUCUGAUGAACUCUCUUUCCUCCCCUCUCCCCCGGACGCCGGGGUAUCUCCCUCUCGCAACUUUGCCGCCCCGACUUUCUCUGCUGUCAGGCCGGGAAAAAGUGUCCGAACGCCUCGUGGACUGCAGCGGGGGAAAUGUCCCUUAAAAGUGCGACGAAGUGGGGAAGAAGGUGUAAUUACUAUUAUCAGCAUCUAGAAAGCAUCAUGAAUUUGCUGGAGUACUUCCUAGCACUGACCUCCUUCAUUCUGCGUUGUUCUUACUGGAUCUUUCCAUCAGCCAACAAUAUGGAAGUACCAAUACAAGGUCAAAUCAUUCCUGGAUUCAUCUGGAGUUGCUUAAAAGUUAAAUCAUUGGAAUUUUUGAUGAUACCUUUUCUAUAUGGAUUACAAUUUGAUCGCUGGGAAUUCUCCACCUUAAAGAAGUACCCUCAGGUGACUACAGAUGUGUUAACACCCAGCAUGUUCCGGUAGGAGACUUUCUGGAUGGGGAAGAUUUCCAGGUGUGAAUCAUGGCAAUACAGUGAAAGACAGUGAUUUACUGCUUUUGAGGGCGUGCAUGUAUAUGAUUAACGGAUGGAAGUGCAGGACUCCAAGAUUUACUUCCUUCCCUUUCCAGCAGAAUUACCUGAGACGAGUAAAAUCUACUGGUGGAGUCACUCCAUUAUUCUUAUCUGUGGAGAUCUAGAUCUUGAUUUGAAAGUUUCUGAGAAAAUCUUCAGCUCAGACUUGAGGGUCAACUUUACCAGCUGAAGGAGCUGUGGAGUCCAAGUGUGACUGCCAAGAGGAAUCCAGCAAAGCCAAAAAGCCCAAGCAUGUAGCCCUGCCCGAAGCACGCCACACGCAUGGAAAACCCAGAGGAAAUGAGUGAGGAUCAAUGGGAAGAAGAGAGCCAGCCAGGAAGUUGAAGAUUUGUCCAGGAGCAGAUAGCUGAAGAGAGAGAGAGAGAAGAGAGAACGGCUUACAGCUCAGGUCCUCUCUCCAUGCUUAGGAACCACUACAAAUGCUACUGCCUUGAGUCUCAUUUUGUUUCCCUCUGGAAACCACAUGUGUACCUUGUUUGCAACAGUAUGGUUCUGGAGACCAGAAGGCCAAAAUCAAAAGUAUGGGCAGGCUUGAUUUCUUUAGAAGACUCCAGCGGAGAACUGUGUCUCCUUGCUUCUGAUUCUACAUCUCCAUCCAUGGGCCACUGUUUCAGCAACCUCAGCCAGUGCAACACAACCUCAGCCAAGAAGAGUAUGCAGAGAAAGGAGUCCCCUACCUGCCACAAAACUGUUGUCUGAAAACUGUCUCAUAUUGUCUCAAGUUGUCAUUCAUUGUGAAUUAGACCUGUUUAACAUGUAAUCUGCAACAUGCUUCACUGUCUAAUUUUCCAGAGCCCCUCAUAUAAGGAACUGUAUUAUUGGUAUAAUCAUCAUGGUGAAGAAGUUGGUAUGUGGGGGAGAGAUGACAGAAACAGAGAGUAAGUCAGAGCUGGCUGCCUGACAGAUAAAAAGGAAAUGACCAAAAAAAAAAAAAAAGACACAGAAGAA
Molecule: long non-coding RNA, 1616 nt
Filed under: Homo sapiens (human)
Lineage: Eukaryota; Metazoa; Chordata; Mammalia; Primates; Hominidae
Description: cancer susceptibility 15
Source: RNAcentral